UACACUCCUGCGGGAGGCAGCAGUGGGGAAUAUUGCACAAUGGGCGCAAGCCUGAUGCAGCGACGCCGCGUGGGGGAUGAAGGCCUUCGGGUUGUAAACUCCUUUCGCUAGGGACGAAGCUUUUUUGUGACGGUACCUAGAUAAGAAGCACCGGCUAACUACGUGCCAGCAGCCGCGGUAAUACGUAGGGUGCGAGCGUUGUCCGGAAUUACUGGGCGUAAAGGGCUCGUAGGUGGUUUGUCGCGUCGUCUGUGAAAUUCUGGGGCUUAACUCCGGGCGUGCAGGCGAUACGGGCAUAACUUGAGUGCUGUAGGGGUAACUGGAAUUCCUGGUGUAGCGGUGAAAUGCGCAGAUAUCAGGAGGAACACCGAUGGCGAAGGCAGGUUACUGGGCAGUUACUGACGCUGAGGAGCGAAAGCAUGGGUAGCGAACAGGAUUAGAAACCCCAGUAGUCCCA
RNAcentral lists this ribosomal RNA (457 nucleotides) under uncultured organism. RNAcentral describes it as "partial 16S ribosomal RNA". It matches the Rfam family "Bacterial small subunit ribosomal RNA", at positions 332 to 797 of the family's 1533-position model. The record is from RNAcentral.